GUAGGGAAUAUUGCAGAAUGGGCGCAAGCCUGAUGCAGCAACGCCGCGUGGGCGAUUGAAGGCCUUCGGGUUGUAAAGCCCUUUUGCGCGGGAAGAGGAAGGACGGUACCGCGCGAAUAAGCCUCGGCUAACUACGUGCCAGCAGCCGCGGUAAAACGUAGGAGGCGAGCGUUAUCCGGAUUUACUGGGCGUAAAGCGCGUGCAGGCGGCCCGGCAAGUUGGCUGUGAAAGCCCCCGGCUCAACCGGGGGAGGUCGGUCAAAACUGCCGGUGCUAGAGGAUGGGAGAGGGAGAUGGAAUUCCGGGUGUAGUGGUGAAAUGCGUAGAGAUCCGGAGGAACACCAGUGGCGAAAGCGAUCUUCUGGCCCAUCACUGACGCUCAGACGCGAAAGCUAGGGGAGCGAACGGGAUUAGAAACCCUAGUAGUCC
RNAcentral lists this ribosomal RNA (428 nucleotides) under uncultured bacterium. RNAcentral's name for it is "bacterial SSU rRNA". It matches the Rfam family "Bacterial small subunit ribosomal RNA", at positions 354 to 796 of the family's 1533-position model. The record is from RNAcentral.